UACAGAGGAGCCAAGCGUUGUCCGGAUUUACUGGGCGUAAAGAGCGCGCAGGCGGUCGUUCAAGUCGCGUGUGAAAGCCCCCGGCUCAACUGGGGAGGGUCAUUCGAUACUGUCGGACUCGAAGGCAGGAGAGGGAAGCGGAAUUCCCGGUGUAGUGGUGAAAUGCGUAGAUAUCGGGAGGAACACCAGUGGCGAAGGCGGCUUCCUGGCCUGUUCUUGACGCUGAGGCGCGAAAGCUAGGGGAGCAAACGGG
RNAcentral lists this ribosomal RNA (253 nucleotides) under uncultured bacterium. RNAcentral's name for it is "partial 16S ribosomal RNA". It matches the Rfam family "Bacterial small subunit ribosomal RNA", at positions 524 to 776 of the family's 1533-position model. The record is from RNAcentral.